This 540-nucleotide ribosomal RNA is filed under the name uncultured bacterium. Its description in RNAcentral is "bacterial SSU rRNA". It matches the Rfam family "Bacterial small subunit ribosomal RNA", at positions 884 to 1421 of the family's 1533-position model. The record is from RNAcentral.
GGUCGCAAGAUUAUAACUCAAAGGAAUUGACGGGGGCCAGCACAAGCGGUGGAGCAUGUGGUUUAAUUAGAAGCAACGCGCAGAACCUUACCAGCUCUUGACAUCCCGAUCGCGGACAGUGGAGACAUUGUCCUUCAGUUAGGCUGGACCGGUGACAGGUGCUGCAUGGCUGUGGUCAGCUCGUGUCGUGAGAUGUUGGGUUAAGUCCCGCAACGAGCGCAACCCUCGCCCUUAGUUGCCAGCAUUCAGUUGGGCACUCUAAGGGGACUGCCGGUGAUAAGCCGAGAGGAAGGUGGGGAUGACGUCAAGUCCUCAUGGCCCUUACGGGCUGGGCUACACACGUGCUACAAUGGUGGUGACAGUGGGCAGCGAGACCGCGAGGUCGAGCUAAUCUCCAAAAGCCAUCUCAGUUCGGAUUGCACUCUGCAACUGGAGUGCAUGAAGUUGGAAUCGCUAGUAAUCGCAGAUCAGCAUGGUGCGGUGAAUACGUUCCCAGGCCUUGUACACACCGCCCGUCACACCAUGGGAGUUGGUUUUACC